This 317-nucleotide ribosomal RNA is filed under the name Thermus scotoductus. Its description in RNAcentral is "bacterial SSU rRNA". It matches the Rfam family "Bacterial small subunit ribosomal RNA", at positions 1 to 321 of the family's 1533-position model. The record is from RNAcentral. Lineage: Bacteria; Thermotogati; Deinococcota; Deinococci; Thermales; Thermaceae.
UUUAUUGGAGAGUUUGAUCCUGGCUCAGGGUGAACGCUGGCGGCGUGCCUAAGACAUGCAAGUCGAGCGGGGCAGGUUUAUGCCUGUCCAGCGGCGGACGGGUGAGUAACGCGUGGGUGACCUACCCGGAAGAGGCGGACAACCUGGGGAAACCCAGGCUAAUCCGCCAUGUGGUCCUGUCCUGUGGGGUAGGACUAAAGGGUGGAUAGCCCGCUUCCGGAUGGGCCCGCGUCCCAUCAGCUAGUUGGUGGGGUAAAGGCCCACCAAGGCGACGACGGGUAGCCGGUCUGAGAGGAUGGCCGGCCACAGGGGCACUG